Molecule: ribosomal RNA, 482 nt
Filed under: uncultured bacterium
Lineage: Bacteria
Description: partial 16S ribosomal RNA
Rfam family: Bacterial small subunit ribosomal RNA
Source: RNAcentral
GACGAACGCUGGCGGCGUGCUUAACACAUGCAAGUCGAACGAUGAAGAAGAGAAACGCGAACUUCGGUUCAAAUUUCACUUCGGAUUAGUGGCAGACGGGUGAGUAACGCGUGAGCAACCUACCUCUUACAAAGGGAUAGCCUCGGGAAACCGUGAUUAAUACCAUAUGACACAUUCAUAAGGCAUCUUAAGAAUGUUAAAGCUACGGCGGUAAGAGAUGGGCUCGCGUCCCAUUAGCUAGUUGGUGAGGUAACGGCCCACCAAGGCGACGAUGGGUAACCGGCCUGAGAGGGUGAACGGUCACAUUGGAACUGAGACACGGUCCAAACUCCUACGGGAGGCAGCAGUGGGGAAUAUUGCACAAUGGAGGGAACUCUGAUGCAGCGACGCCGUGUGAGCGAUGAAGGAAUUCGUUUCGUAAAGCUCUGUUCUAUGGGAAGAAAAGGACUGUACCAUAGGAGAAAGCCCCGGCUAAAUACGUG